Molecule: transfer RNA, 78 nt
Filed under: Methanotorris igneus Kol 5
Lineage: Archaea; Methanobacteriati; Methanobacteriota; Methanococci; Methanococcales; Methanocaldococcaceae
Description: tRNA-Trp (CCA) (tRNA-Trp-CCA-1-1)
Rfam family: tRNA
About the family: Transfer RNA (tRNA) molecules are approximately 80 nucleotides in length. Their secondary structure includes four short double-helical elements and three loops (D, anti-codon, and T loops). Further hydrogen bonds mediate the characteristic L-shaped molecular structure. tRNAs have two regions of fundamental functional importance: the anti-codon, which is responsible for specific mRNA codon recognition, and the 3' end, to which the tRNAs corresponding amino acid is attached (by aminoacyl-tRNA synthetases). tRNAs cope with the degeneracy of the genetic code in two manners: having more than one tRNA (with a specific anti-codon) for a particular amino acid; and 'wobble' base-pairing, i.e. permitting non-standard base-pairing at the 3rd anti-codon position.
Source: RNAcentral
GGGGGUGUGGUGUAGCCAGGCCUAUCAUCGGGGACUCCAGAUCCCUGGACCUGGGUUCAAAUCCCAGCACCCCCACCA